GCGGAUGUGGCGAAAUUGGCAGACGCACUAGUCUUAGGAUCUAGCGGGAAACCAUGCAGGUUCAACUCCUGUCAUCCGCACCA
This 83-nucleotide transfer RNA is filed under the name Rikenellaceae bacterium. RNAcentral's name for it is "tRNA-Leu". It matches the Rfam family "tRNA". From Rfam's summary of the family: Transfer RNA (tRNA) molecules are approximately 80 nucleotides in length. Their secondary structure includes four short double-helical elements and three loops (D, anti-codon, and T loops). Lineage: Bacteria; Pseudomonadati; Bacteroidota; Bacteroidia; Bacteroidales; Rikenellaceae. The record is from RNAcentral.